UCCGUAGGUUGAUAAUUAAGUCAGAGGUGAAAUCCUGCUGCUCAACGGUAGAAUUGCCUUUGAUACUGGUUAUCUUGAGUUAUUAUGAAGUAGUUAGAAUAUGUAGUGUAGCGGUGAAAUGCAUAGAUAUUACAUAGAAUACCAAUUGCGAAGGCAGAUUACUAAUAAUCAACUGACACUGAUGGACGAAAGCGUGGGGAGCGAACA
Molecule: ribosomal RNA, 207 nt
Filed under: uncultured bacterium
Lineage: Bacteria
Description: partial 16S ribosomal RNA
Rfam family: Bacterial small subunit ribosomal RNA
Source: RNAcentral